AUUGAACGCUGGCGGCAUGCCUUACACAUGCAAGUCGAACGGUAACGGGCCUUCGGGUGCCGACGAGUGGCGAACGGGUGAGUAAUACAUCGGAACGUGCCCGAUCGUGGGGGAUAACGAGGCGAAAGCUUUGCUAAUACCGCAUACGAUCUACGGAUGAAAGCAGGGGACCGCAAGGCCUUGCGCGGACGGAGCUGCCGAUGGCAGAUUAGGUAGUUGGUGGGAUAAAAGCUUACCAAGCCGACGAUCUGUAGCUGGUCUGAGAGGAUGAUCAGCCACACUGGGACUGAGACACGGCCCAGACUCCUACGGGAGGCAGCAGUGGGGAAUUUUGGACAAUGGGCGCAAGCCUGAUCCAGCCAUGCCGCGUGCAGGAUGAAGGCCUUCGGGUUGUAAACUGCUUUUGUACGGAACGAAAAGCCUUCUUUUAAUACAGGAGGGUCAUGACGGUACCGUAAGAAUAAGCACCGGCUAACUACGUG
Molecule: ribosomal RNA, 482 nt
Filed under: uncultured bacterium
Lineage: Bacteria
Description: partial 16S ribosomal RNA
Rfam family: Bacterial small subunit ribosomal RNA
Source: RNAcentral